Molecule: ribosomal RNA, 250 nt
Filed under: uncultured bacterium
Lineage: Bacteria
Description: partial 16S ribosomal RNA
Rfam family: Bacterial small subunit ribosomal RNA
Source: RNAcentral
UACGUAGGCAGCAAACGUUGUUCGGAAUUACUGGGCGUAAAGAGUGUGUAGGCGGUUGGGUAAGUUUGGUGUGAAAUCUCCCGGCUUAACUGGGAGGGUGCGCCGAAAACUGCCUGGCUUGAGUACUGGAGAGGAUAGCGGAAUUCCUGGUGUAGCGGUGAAAUGCGUAGAUAUCAGGAGGAACACCUGCGGUGUAGACGGCUGUCUGGACAGUAACUGACGCUGAGACACGAAAGCGUGGGGAGCAAAC